CGCCUSUUGCUAAAAUAUAAGAGGUCCCGCCUGCCCCGUGAUCUAAUUUAACGGCCGCGGUAUCUUGACCGUGCAAAGGUAGCAUAAUCAAUUGUUCUUUAAAUAAGGACUAGUAUGAAUGGCAUUACGAGGGUUUAACUGUCUCCCUAUUUUAAUCAAUGAAAUUGAUCUUCCCGUGAAGAAGCGGGAAUAUAAUUAUAAGACGAAAAGACCCCAUGGAGCUUUAAACUUAUUUUCAAUUACCAAAAUCCAAAACAUAUACCUGGUAAAAAUGACAAUCGUUUUCGGUUGGGGCGACCCUGGAGAAAAAUAAAUCCUCCAAGCUGAAUAGAUCAAAAAUCUAAUGUUAGAGUGACAACUCAAACAAUCAAAAUCUUGACAAAAUGACCCAGAAUUUAUCUGAUCAACGAACCAAGUUACCCUGGGGAUAACAGCGCAAUCCAUUUCAAGAGCCCUUAUCGACAAAUGGGUUUACGACCUCGAUGUUGGAUCGGGAUAUCCUAGCAGCGCAGCCGUUGCUUAAGGUUCGUUUGUUCAACGAUUAACAAUCCC
RNAcentral lists this ribosomal RNA (552 nucleotides) under Hyperolius sp. FB-2000. Its description in RNAcentral is "partial 16S ribosomal RNA". It matches the Rfam family "Bacterial large subunit ribosomal RNA", at positions 1817 to 2597 of the family's 2925-position model. Lineage: Eukaryota; Metazoa; Chordata; Amphibia; Anura; Hyperoliidae. The record is from RNAcentral.